This 468-nucleotide ribosomal RNA is filed under the name uncultured bacterium. RNAcentral describes it as "partial 16S ribosomal RNA". It matches the Rfam family "Bacterial small subunit ribosomal RNA", at positions 28 to 507 of the family's 1533-position model. The record is from RNAcentral.
GACGAACGCUGGCGGCGUGCUUGACACAUGCAAGUCGAACUGUGAAGCUCCAGCUUGCUGGAGUGGAUCAGUGGCGAACGGGUGAGUAACACGUGAGCAACCUGCCCCUGACUCUGGAAUAAGCGCUGGAAACGGCGUCUAAUACUGGAUACGAGAAGGGUCCGCAUGGGCACUUUCUGGAAAGUUUUUCGGUUGGGGAUGGGCUCGCGGCCUAUCAGCUUGUUGGUGAGGUAAUGGCUCACCAAGGCGACGACGGGUAGCCGGCCUGAGAGGGCGACCGGCCACACUGGGACUGAGACACGGCCCAGACUCCUACGGGAGGCAGCAGUGGGGAAUAUUGCACAAUGGGCGAAAGCCUGAUGCAGCGACGCCGCGUGAGGGAUGACGGCCUUCGGGUUGUAAACCUCUUUCAGCAGGGAAGAAGCGAAAGUGACGGUACCUGCAGAAGAAGCACCGGCUAACUACGUG